Molecule: ribosomal RNA, 478 nt
Filed under: uncultured bacterium
Lineage: Bacteria
Description: partial 16S ribosomal RNA
Rfam family: Bacterial small subunit ribosomal RNA
Source: RNAcentral
GACGAACGCUAGCGGCGUGCUUAACACAUGCAAAUCGAGCGAUGAAAUUCCUUCGGGAAUGGAUUAGCGGCGGACGGGUGAGUAACACGUGGGUAACCUGCCUCAUAGAGGGGAAUAGCCUUCCGAAAGGAAGAUUAAUACCGCAUAAGAUUGUAGUACCACAUGGUACAGCAACUAAAGGAGUAAUCCGCUAUGAGAUGGACCCGCGUCGCAUUAGCUAGUUGGUGAGGUAACGGCUCACCAAGGCGACGAUGCGUAGCCGACCUGAGAGGGUGAUCGGCCACAUUGGGACUGAGACACGGCCCAGACUCCUACGGGAGGCAGCAGUGGGGAAUAUUGCACGAUGGGGGAAACCCUGAUGCAGCAACGCCGCGUGAGUGAUGACGGUCUCCGGAUUGUAAAACUCUGUCUUCAGGGGCGAUAAUGACGGUACCUGAGGAGGAAGCCACGGCUAACUACGUGCCAGCCGCCGCCGUAA